RNAcentral lists this ribosomal RNA (323 nucleotides) under uncultured eukaryote. RNAcentral describes it as "partial 18S ribosomal RNA". It matches the Rfam family "Eukaryotic small subunit ribosomal RNA", at positions 1470 to 1796 of the family's 1831-position model. The record is from RNAcentral.
CCCUUAGAUGUUCUGGGCCGCACGCGUGCUACACUGAACGGUUCAAUGGGUAAGGUAGUGCGAAAGCAUGACCUAAUCUCGAAAUCCGUUCGUGCUGGGGAUAGAAGCUUGCAAUUAUCCUUCUUGAACGAGGAAUACCUUGUAAGCGUGAGUCAUCAUCUCACGCUGAAUACGUCCCUGCCCUUUGUACACACCGCCCGUCGCUCCUACCGAUUGAGUGUUCCGGUGAGGCUUUGGGAGAUUGGCCUCAACAUGAGUUUAUCGUGUUUUGCCGUUUGAACUUAGUCAAACCUUAUCACUUAGAGGAAGGAGAAGUCGUAACA